GAUCCUGGCUCAGAAUAAACGCUGGCGGCGUGUCUUAAGCAUGCAAGUCGGACGGCAAGCCGCCUUCGGGCGGCCUAGAGUGGCGGACUGGUGAGUAACACGUGGGUGAUAUACCUUUUUGGACGGGGAUAGCCCCUAGAAAUAGGGGGUAAUACCGGAUAAGGCCGUGCGGGUUGGAGCCGCACGGGGAAAGGCGCUAUGGCGCCGCCGAAAGAAUAGCCUGCGACCUAUCAGCUUGUUGGUGAGGUAAGGGCCCACCAAGG
RNAcentral lists this ribosomal RNA (263 nucleotides) under uncultured bacterium. Its description in RNAcentral is "partial 16S ribosomal RNA". It matches the Rfam family "Bacterial small subunit ribosomal RNA", at positions 15 to 273 of the family's 1533-position model. The record is from RNAcentral.